GAGAGACGCAGCGGCGGCCCCAGUGCCGCCCCCGGGCGCGUGAGUGGAGCCGGGCUCCUUUCCCCUACCGCGCCGCGACCCCCGCCCGGGCUGCGCGCGCCGCCUCCCGCGAGCCCCCGGCCCGACUCCCGGGCUCCCGCGGGUGGGGGCCAGGGCUGGUCGGCGCCGGCGGGGCUCGCGGCGGCGGCGGGUUGCGUCCCCCGCGCCUGCUGGCCCACGUGGACCUGGCCGUCGCUUGCCGUGCGGCGCCUUUGCGAAAACUCGACGGAAGUGGCAGGGACCGGGCAUUACCUGCGAGUGCCGGGCGCCUCCUGCUCCGCUGUGCGCGCUUGGGGUGGGACUCGGCGGGGGAGGGGUCGUGUACAUUGUCCCACCAGGCGCAAUGUAGCCGGGCGGCGCAGAGGAUUUCUUUUUUGGUCUUGAGAGCAUAGAGUCCCUUUUCAUAUUCACGUGUACUCUUAAGAAAGCGUCUGUUCUCCAAACUGGCUUUCCAUUCUCCCCGUCCUAAAUGGUGCGUGGCUGACACCGUAGUGUUUUCAAAACUGGAUAUGGCCAGGAUGCUAUAGCAUUGUCAGUAUAGGGGAGUGUAUACAUCACCACACCAGCUGUCCAGGAAUUAGGAGGAAGUGCCCUUGAAUGAAGCCUGGGCUGCAAGCCUGGUUAGCAGCCAGGGAGGACACACACACGUUGCAGGCAUCUCCUUGGAAACAAUGCCAUCUUUGAAUGUGAGAGAUAAACCUAGUUUCAGCAUGUCUGCAGCAGAGACCAGUACAUCAGGCUUAUUCCCACAGGAAGCCUCCUAAAGCCUGUGGCGCGGCAACCAUUUCCAGGACUAAAUAAUAAUGUGUCAGAUGCCUGUGAGUGGACUGCCUGGCCAAAUGACUCAUGAAGAUAUUCACGGAAGAAUAGUCAAAAACCAAAGAAAAGGCAUAUUCUAGAAGCACCUUCAAUUCCAUCGAGGAUUUUUGAGCAGCUGAAGAAGAAAGUUCUGAAAAUAUGAGUGACAGGACUCCAGCACAUUUUUUUUAGUUGUUUCUUACAUUAUCUUUGUUAACCCAUCCGCUUUUGUGUAUAAUAUUAAGUUAUUUUCCACUACUGCAAUGGCUAGUAAUUUACUUAGGCUCAGAGUUUUACUCUGUAUGGACAGAGAAAUAGGAGGUAACAACAGUGGGAGAACAAAUAGGAACAGUUCACUGGGAUGUUGGUCCCCAGAAAUUGGCUUUCAUUGAAUAAUUCCUAAAGGGUGUCGUGUGCUGAAUUGCUUUUUCAUAGUGAUGUGCUGCUUCUUGUUCAUACUCUUAUGACUUUAAUUUCACCUUUAUCUACUCCCAGCCUCUGUAUAUGCCUACGUUUUUAAAAAUAAUUUUUGGCACUGAAGAUCUGAUUACCAUAUUUUUUCAGUUUAAAAAUUAAAUCCUCGCAAAUAGAUCUUUGGUAUAGUUGCAUUCUACCCUAGGUUAUUUUCUAGGAUCAAGAAUAGAACAAUUUCUGUUCUUUCCAGCAUUACUCUUUACUAUUCAUAUGUUCUUGUUCAGUGUUUUGUUGUUCUCAUAUUCUAGGUGGAAAUGAAGGGUAAUCUCUAUGUUCUAUUUUCAGUUUUCUAGGAAACCAGAAAAACAUGGGUAGUAGAAAUGUAUAGAAAAUGUAUGAGGUCUCUUAACCAUUGUGUUAAACUUGCAUUAAGCUUCUUUUUUAGCAAUAUCGAUGUCAGUGUUACCUCUUCUUUCCUUUUUAUUUAUUUUUUUUGAGACAGAGUCUCAUUCUGUCGCCCAGACUGGUUGGAGUGCGAUGAUGCGAUCGCGGCUAACUGCAACCGCUGCCUCCCAGGUACAAGUAAUUCUCGUGCCUUGGGCUCCCGAGUAGCUGGGAUUUUUAGUAGAGAACAGGUUUCACCAUAUUGGCCAGGCUGGUCUUGAACUCGCAACCUCAGGUGAUCCACCCACCUCAGCCUCCCCAAAGUGUUGGGAUUACAGGCAUGAGCCACCAUACCUGGCCCCUUUUGUUGUUUUGAGGGGCAGGCAGUAAGAAGCAGGGAUUUCUUCAAAUGCUAGUAAGCACAAAGAGAGGGAGAAGUUUUUGUAAGUAACGAACAGGGCCGGGCAUGGUGGCGUGAGAGGCCGAGGUGGGCAGAUCACGAGGUCAGGAGUUCGAGACCAGCCUGACCAACAUAGUGAAACCCCCGUCUCCACUAGAAAUACAAAAAUUAGCCGGGCAUGGUGGUGCACGCCUGUAAUCCAGCUAGUCAGGAGGCUGAGGCAGGAGAAUCGCUUGAACCUGGGAGGUGGAGGUUGCAGGGAGCUGAGAUCACGCCACUGCACUCCAGCCUGGGCGACAGAGUAAGACUCCCGUCUC
Molecule: long non-coding RNA, 2352 nt
Filed under: Homo sapiens (human)
Lineage: Eukaryota; Metazoa; Chordata; Mammalia; Primates; Hominidae
Description: HSALNT0136113
Source: RNAcentral